GACGAACGCUGGCGGCGUGCCUAAUACAUGCAAGUCGAACGCACAGUUUAUACCGUAGCUUGCUACACCAUAGACUGUGAGUUGCGAACGGGUGAGUAACGCGUAGGUAACCUGCCUGGUAGAGGGGGAUAACUAUUGGAAACGAUCGCUAAUAUCGCAUAAUAUUAAUUAUUGCAUGAUAAUUAAUUGAAAGGUGCAAUUGCACCACUACCAGAUGGACCUGCGUUGUAUUAGCUAGUAGGUGAGGUAACGGCUCACCUAGGCGACGACACAGAGCCGACCUGAGAGGGUGAUCGGCCACACUGGGACUGAGACACGGCCCAGACUCCCACGGGAGGCAGCAGUAGGGAAUCUUCGGCAAUGGACGAAAGUCUGACCGAGCAACGCCGCGUGAGGGAAGAAGGUUUUCGGAUCGUAAAGCUCUGUUGUAAGAGAAGAACGGGUGUGAGAGUGGAAAGUUCACACUGUGACGGUAGCUUACCAGAAAGGGACGGCUAACUACGUG
This 505-nucleotide ribosomal RNA is filed under the name uncultured bacterium. RNAcentral describes it as "partial 16S ribosomal RNA". It matches the Rfam family "Bacterial small subunit ribosomal RNA", at positions 28 to 507 of the family's 1533-position model. The record is from RNAcentral.